Molecule: ribosomal RNA, 1463 nt
Filed under: Enterococcus faecalis
Lineage: Bacteria; Bacillati; Bacillota; Bacilli; Lactobacillales; Enterococcaceae
Description: bacterial SSU rRNA
Rfam family: Bacterial small subunit ribosomal RNA
Source: RNAcentral
UGGGGGGCCUAUAAUGCAGUCGAGCGCUUCUUUCGUCCCUACUGCUUGCUUCAAUUGGAAAAAGGAGAGUAAUGACGGGUGAUUAACACGUGGGUGCCUACCCAUCACAGGGGGAUAACGCUUGGAAACAGGUGCUAAUACCGCAUAACAGGUUAUGCCGCAUGGCAUCACAGUGUAAGGUGCUUUCGGGUGUCAUUGAUGGAUGGACCCGCGGUGCGUUAACUACUUGGAGAGGUAACGGCUCACCUAGGACGCGAUGCAUACCCGACCUAAGGGGGAGAUCGGCCACACUGCGACUGAAACACGCCCCAGACUCCUACGGGAGGCAGCAGUAGGGAAUCUUCCGCAAUGGACGAAAGUCUGACCAAGGAACGCCGUGGGAGUGAAAAAGGUUUUCGGAUCAAAAAACUCUGUUGUUAGAGAAGAACAAUGACCUUAAUAACUGAACGUCCCCUGACGGUAUCUAACCACAAAGCCACGGCUAACUACAUGGCAGCAGCCGCGGUAAUACAUAGGUGGCAAGCGUUGUCCCGAUUUAUUGGGCGUAAAGCGAGCGCAAGCGGUUUCUUAUGUCUGAUGUAAAAGCCCCCGGCUCAACCGGGGAGGGGCAUUGUAAACUGGGAGACUUGAUUGCAGAAGAGGAGAGUGGAAUUCCAUGUGUACCGGAGAAACGCGUAGAUAUAUGGAGGAAUCUAAUUGUGUUGGUCUCUCUCUGGUCUGUAACUGACGCUGAGGCUCGAAAACGUGGGGAGCAUACACGAUUGAUAUACCCUGCUACUCCACGCCGUAACCAUGAGAGCUAAGUGUUGCAGGGUUCCCCGCCCUUCCUCGCUGCUGCAAACUCACUAAGCACUCCCCCUGGUGAGUACGACCGCAAUGGCUGCAACUCUAAGGAAAUUGACCGGGGGCUCGCAUAACGCGGCGGUAGCAUCGGGAUCUACAUUUUGAAGCCACCACGUAGUACCCUCGCCUGCGUCGUUGAGCAUCCUUUGCCCUCUUCUACUACAUAAAACCUUUCGCUUCGGGAGGACAAAGUGACAGGCGGUGCAUGGUAUGUCUGUCACAUCGAUGACUUUGAAGAUUGCUGAGAAUCAGUCCUGACAUCCAACCGCAGCUCGUAGAUGCUAAGCUUACCGUCAUUAGCUGGAACUCUACGGAAUCGUCGGCUACACUGGACAUGAUGCAUUACGCUUAUGACCUGGGCUACACACGUGCUACAAUGGGAAGUACAACGAGUCGCUAGACCGCGAGGUCAUGCAAAUCUCUUAAAGCUUCUCUCAGUUCGGAUUGCAGGUUGCAACUCGCCUGCAUGAAGCCGGAAUCGCUAGUAAUCGCGGAUCAGCACGCCGCGGUGAAUACGUUCCCGGGCCUUGUACACACCGCCCGUCACACCACGAGAGUUUGUAACACCCGAAGUCGGUGAGGUAACCUUUUUGGAGCCAGCCGCCUAAGGUGGAAUAAGG